AGGAGGCAAAGGGGGCUUUACUUCACCUCCAAGCCAAAUACUUAAGAGAAAAAGAACAUCCCUGCCAUUUUCCCAUGCUGCAGGAAAAGCAGAGGCAUGGAGAGCUACAGUCCAAGUACUGUACAGAAGUAAAUACUAGUUGUAUGUGCAUACCUUUGCUGAAGUUGCUAAGGAGCAGAGCUAUCUAUUUCCUUCUCAAAAUGCAGACAUAUCAAAUAACAUAAAUUUAAAAGAUACUGUUUUUGAGCCUGCAUCGUCUCUGAAGAAAGUGUGGAUUUAAGGCACACGUGCUUGAUUAAGGUGUCUAAGAGAACAUGG
This is a long non-coding RNA of Gavia stellata (red-throated loon), 318 nucleotides long. RefSeq lists it as uncharacterized. The transcript is spliced from 3 exons. The record is from RefSeq and is a predicted model, not a curated record. Lineage: Eukaryota; Metazoa; Chordata; Aves; Gaviiformes; Gaviidae.